Molecule: ribosomal RNA, 426 nt
Filed under: uncultured bacterium
Lineage: Bacteria
Description: bacterial SSU rRNA
Rfam family: Bacterial small subunit ribosomal RNA
Source: RNAcentral
GGGCCCGCACAAGCGGUGGAGUAUGUGGUUUAAUUCGAUGCAACGCGAAGAACCUUACCAGGGUUUGACAUCCUGCGAAUCUCUUGGAAACAGGAGAGUGCCUUCGGGAACGCAGUGACAGGUGGUGCAUGGCUGUCGUCAGCUCGUGUCGUGAGAUGUUGGGUUAAGUCCCGCAACGAGCGCAACCCACGUCUUUAGUUGCCAGCAUUUAGUUGGGCACUCUAGAGAGACCGCCGGUGAUAAACCGGAGGAAGGUGUGGAUGACGUCAAGUCAUCAUGCCCCUUACAUCCUGGGCUACACACGUGCUACAAUGGUCGGUACAGAAAGCAGCCACUAUGCGAAUAGGAGCUAAAUCUUUAAAACCGAUCUCAGUUCGGAUCGCAGUCUGCAACUCGACUGCGUGAAGCUGGAAUCGCUAGUAAUCG